RNAcentral lists this ribosomal RNA (501 nucleotides) under uncultured bacterium. RNAcentral describes it as "partial 16S ribosomal RNA". It matches the Rfam family "Bacterial small subunit ribosomal RNA", at positions 30 to 523 of the family's 1533-position model. The record is from RNAcentral.
AUUGAACGCUGGUGGCGGGCUUAACACAUGCAAGUCGAGCGGAGAUGAGGUGCUUGCACCUUAUCUUAGCGGCGGACGGGUGAGUAAUGCUUAGGAAUCUGCCUAUUAGUGGGGGACAACAUUCCGAAAGGAAUGCUAAUACCGCAUACGUCCUACGGGAGAAAGCAGGGGAUCUUCGGACCUUGCGCUAAUAGAUGAGCCUAAGUCGGAUUAGCUAGUUGGUGGGGUAAAGGCCUACCAAGGCGACGAUCUGUAGAGGGUCUGAGAGGAUGAUCCGCCACACUGGGACUGAGACACGGCCCAGACUCCUACGGGAGGCAGCAGUGGGGAAUAUUGGACAAUGGGGGGAACCCUGAUCCAGCCAUGCCGCGUGUGUGAAGAAGGCCUUAUGGUUGUAAAGCACUUUAUGCGAGGAGGAGGCUACUGAGACUAAUACUCUUGGAUAGUGGACGUUACUCGCAGAAUAAGCACCGGCUAACUCUGUGCCAGCAGCCGCCGUAA